UGGGAGUUGAAACUUCGGAAAAAUCUCUUGGGGUCCAGUGUGAAAUGUGAGAGGUCAUGUAAACAUUCAGAGGCCCAAGGAUCUGGCCUGGCUUCUGAAUGACCACCUGCUUCUUCCCCCUGUGUGUGUCCCCAGGUUCCGGAAUGAGGACUACACCAUACAUGUGCAGCUGAAUGACUACGUGGACAUCAUCUGUCCGCACUAUGAGGAUCACUCUGUGGCAGAUGCUGCCAUGGAGCAGUACAUACUGUACCUGGUGGAGCAUGAGGAGUACCAGCUGUGCCAGCCCCAGUCCAAGGACCAAGUCCGCUGGCAGUGCAACCGGCCCAGUGCCAAGCAUGGCCCGGAGAAGCUGUCUGAGAAGUUCCAGCGCUUCACACCUUUCACCCUGGGCAAGGAGUUCAAAGAAGGACACAGCUACUACUACAUCUCCAAACCCAUCCACCAGCAUGAAGACCGCUGCUUGAGGUUGAAGGUGACUGUCAGUGGCAAAAUCACUCACAGUCCUCAGGCCCAUGACAAUCCACAGGAGAAGAGACUUGCAGCAGAUGACCCAGAGGUGCGGGUUCUACAUAGCAUCGGUCACAGUGCUGCCCCACGCCUCUUCCCACUUGCCUGGACUGUGCUGCUCCUUCCACUUCUGCUGCUGCAAACCCCGUGAAGGUGUAUGCCACACCUGGCCUUAAAGAGGGACAGGCUGAAGAGAGGGACAGGCACUC
Molecule: small RNA, 719 nt
Filed under: Pan troglodytes (chimpanzee)
Lineage: Eukaryota; Metazoa; Chordata; Mammalia; Primates; Hominidae
Description: processed transcript
Source: RNAcentral